CAGUCGCCGCGGUAAUACAGAGGGUGCGAGCGUUAAUCGGAUUUACUGGGCGUAAAGCGUGCGUAGGUGGUGGUUUAAGUCCGUUGUGAAAGCCCUGGGCUCAACCUGGGAAUUGCAGUGGAUACUGGGUCACUAGAGUGUGGUAGAGGAUAGUGGAAUUUCCGGUGUAGCAGUGAAAUGCGUAGAGAUCGGAAGGAACAUCUGUGGCGAAGGCGACUAUCUGGGCCAACACUGACACUGAGGCACGAAAGCGUGGGGAGCAAACAGGAUUAGAUACCCCAGUAGUCCCUGUCUCUUAUAU
RNAcentral lists this ribosomal RNA (301 nucleotides) under uncultured bacterium. Its description in RNAcentral is "partial 16S ribosomal RNA". It matches the Rfam family "Bacterial small subunit ribosomal RNA", at positions 509 to 809 of the family's 1533-position model. The record is from RNAcentral.